GAUCCUGGCUCAGGAUGAACGCUGACGGCGUGCUUAACACAUGCAAGUCGAACGAAGCACUUACGACAGAACUUUUUCGGAGGGAAGAUGUUUGUGACUGAGUGGCGGACGGGUGAGUAACGCGUGGGUAACCUGCCUUAUACAGGGGGAUAACAGUUGGAAACGACUGCUAAUACCGCAUAAGCGCACGGUAUCGCAUGAUACAGUGUGAAAAACUCCGGUGGUAUAAGAUGGACCCGCGUCUGAUUAGCUAGUUGGUGAGGUAACGGCCCACCAAGGCGACGAUCAGUAGCCGGCCUGAGAGGGUGAACGGCCACAUUGGGACUGAGACACGGCCCAAACUCCUACGGGAGGCAGCAGUGGGGAAUAUUGCACAAUGGGGGAAACCCUGAUGCAGCGACGCCGCGUGAGUGAUGAAGUAUUUCGGUAUGUAAAACUCUAUCAGCAGGGAAGAUAAUGACGGUACCUGACUAAGAAGCACCGGCUAAAUACGUG
RNAcentral lists this ribosomal RNA (495 nucleotides) under uncultured bacterium. RNAcentral describes it as "bacterial SSU rRNA". It matches the Rfam family "Bacterial small subunit ribosomal RNA", at positions 15 to 507 of the family's 1533-position model. The record is from RNAcentral.